CAGCACUUAGAGAGCUUCCAGAUAGCCGAACAUAUGGGUGCUCCUGGAAGGUAGAGUGCCCAGGAAGGACAUGGAGACUCUCUACUCCUUCCCCCAUACCUUGCCCUACACAUCUCUUCAUUGGCACGGUGGCUCACGCCUGUAAUCGCAGCACUUUGGGAGACCAAAGCAGAUGAAUCACCUGAGGUCAAGAGUUCAAGACCAGCCUGGCCAACACGAAAGAAGCUCUCACAGUGGAAGACUAUAAUAUGACAUAAGAAGAAAUGUGGACUUGGAGAUACAGAAGAGACAGGGUCUCGCUCUGUUACCCAGGCUGGAGUGUAGUGGCACGAUCUAAGGUCACUGCAACCUCCGCCUCUGGGGUUCAAGCCUCCCACCUCAGCCUACCAAGCAACUGGGACUACAGACAGGGUCUCAUUCCUGUUGCUCAGGCUGGAGUACAGUGGCAUGAUCUUGGCUCACUGCAGCUUCGACCUCCCGGGCUCAGGUGAUUCUCCCACCUCAGCCUCCCAAGCAACUGGAACUACCCAGCUAGUCCUACCAUGACCGGUUAGUUUUUUGUAUUUUUAAUAGAGACAUGGUUUCACCACAUUGCCCAGGCUAGUCCUGAACUCCCGGACUCAAGCAGUCCACCCACCUAGGCCUCCUAAAGUGCUAGAAUUACAGGCGUGAGCCACUGUGCCCAGCCUGUUACAUCUACAUUAGAUAUAUACAUAUAUAAUUAUUUAUAUAUUUUAUAUAUGUAAUUAUUUCCUAAUGAAAUAACAGACAACAUGGUAAUCAAACAAGGAAAGAAAGAAGUAUAUGUGAAAGUAUAAAAACCCUCAGAAAACACAUCAGAUGAGUCAGUAAAACUAGUUGUGAAUAGUCACACAUGCCUGUAAUCCCAGCUACUUGGAAGGCUGAGGUAGGAGGAUUGCUUGAGCUCAGGAGUUUGAGACCAGCCUGGGCAACACGCAUGACACCAUCUCAAGAAAAAAAAAAUUGUUGUGGAAUACCAGAUUAAUAAAUACUACUUUUUAAGCAUAAUCCUUGCAUUUCAGUUCCUAAAAUAGUCAAACAGUGGUAGACAUACUCUAAAUCUUCAAAACAAUAAGUGAGUCAUAAAUCUCUUUACUGUAAGUUCUCACAGUCCCUUGCACUUUCAAAAACCUCCUCACAUUUGCAUUUACAUUUUUAAUGCCUAUCUUCCUAGGGAAUAUUCUCUCAAGUACUUGGUGAAGUAUAUGAACUGUUAAUUGUCUUAUUAACUGCAGAUCCCCAGUGCGAAGUCAGUGCCAAAAACAAGUCAUUAUUUAGGUAAAUACAUAGUCAUUGAAUUAUUGAAUAAUAUAUAAAUAUUGAAUUGAAUGAAACAUUCCUUUUUCAGAAAUAAAGU
Molecule: long non-coding RNA, 1378 nt
Filed under: Homo sapiens (human)
Lineage: Eukaryota; Metazoa; Chordata; Mammalia; Primates; Hominidae
Description: PREDICTED lncRNA (TCONS_00084957)
Source: RNAcentral